Molecule: transfer RNA, 89 nt
Rfam family: tRNA
About the family: Transfer RNA (tRNA) molecules are approximately 80 nucleotides in length. Their secondary structure includes four short double-helical elements and three loops (D, anti-codon, and T loops).
Source: Rfam
GGCUUCGUGGCGCAAUGGUAGCGCGUCAGAUUCCAGUAUCUACCACUGGAGCUUCCUGAAGGUUAGGCGUUCAAAUCGCCUCGAGGUCA